Molecule: long non-coding RNA, 310 nt
Filed under: Arabidopsis lyrata
Lineage: Eukaryota; Viridiplantae; Streptophyta; Magnoliopsida; Brassicales; Brassicaceae
Description: long non-coding RNA (ALYR_LNC000510)
Source: RNAcentral
ACAAAAUGAAAUUAGCUUUAAUUUAUGAAAGACAAUGAAUCAUAAAAUAUCAUAUUCCAUAAAGUUAACUUAACAAAGUCUAAACAUAACAUGAAGUACAUCAACAUUAACUAAAAAAAACAUGAACUCUAAGAGUGGCUACCAUGACAUUAUUAUUCAAAGAGUCUUGUGGAUUGAGGACUCUCCUUUCUCUACUUUGGGGUGUUUCUUAGCAGUGUUGUUGCGUGUAUCCUUUUUUAUGUUUCUCAAAAAUUGCUUGUAUAGUGGAUCAAUGUCUUCUUCUUCUUCUAUUUCGAUGCGUAUUAAGUAG